AGUGGCGAACGGGUGAGUAACACGUGAGGAACCUGCCCCGAAGACCGGGAUAACACCGGGAAACCGGUGCUAAUACCGGAUGCCCUCGAAGGAUCGCAUGGUCCAUCGAGGAAAUGGAUUCCGCUUCGGGAUGGCCUCGCGCCCUAUCAGCUUGUUGGUGAGGUAACGGCUCACCAAGGCAACGACGGGUAGCUGGUCUGAGAGGAUGUCCAGCCACACUGGGACUGAGACACGGCCCAGACUCCUACGGGAGGCAGCAGUUAGGAAUCUUGCGCAGUGGGCGAAAGCCUGACGCAGCGACGCCGCGUGCGGGAUGAAGGCCUUCGGGUUGUAAACCGCUUUCAGCAGGGACGAAAUUGACGGUACCUGCAGAAGAAGCCCCGGCCAACUACGUGCCAGCAGCCGCGGUAAUACGUAGGGGGCGAGCGUUGUCCGGAUUUAUUGGGCGUAAAGAGCUCGUAGGCGGUUUGGUAAGUCGGAUGUGAAAUCUCCAGGCUCAACCUGGAGGGGUCAUUCGAUACUGCCAUGACUAGAGUUCGGUAGGGGUGUGUGGAAUUCCUGGUGGAGCGGUGAAAUGCGCAGAUAUCAGGAGGAACACCCGUAGCGAAGGCGGCACACUGGGCCGAUAC
RNAcentral lists this ribosomal RNA (629 nucleotides) under uncultured bacterium. RNAcentral's name for it is "bacterial SSU rRNA". It matches the Rfam family "Bacterial small subunit ribosomal RNA", at positions 94 to 740 of the family's 1533-position model. The record is from RNAcentral.